Molecule: long non-coding RNA, 3512 nt
Organism: Oncorhynchus tshawytscha (Chinook salmon)
Lineage: Eukaryota; Metazoa; Chordata; Actinopteri; Salmoniformes; Salmonidae
Source: Ensembl
AGCUGUACAGGAGAGUUCUGAGGGAGGCUGUAAUCAGCUGUACAGGAGAGUUCUGAGGGAGGCUGUAAUCAGCUGUACAGGAGAGUUCUGAGGGAGGCUGUACAGGAGAGUUCUGAGGGAGGCUGUAAUCAGCUGUACAGGAGAGUUCUGAGGGAGGUUGUAAUCAGCUGUACAGGAGAGCAAUGCUGUGCUGCCUGCUUCUAGUAGUGUUAUAAUCCCAAUAUAACAGUGUACAGUCUGACUCAGCAGAAAAACCUAGUUCUCAGUCCCGUCCAGAUCUGCCUAAUGUUUCUGUUAAUUGUUAGGUGUCAAACACUGGCUAACAAAAGCACAGUUUGUAAUCACUAAGUGGACUCCAAAAACUAAUUGUGCCUGCUUAGAUCUAUUCCAUGUUGUUGUACUGAACCCAUUAGAAGACUGUCUGACUGACAGCCUGAUGUAUGUCAAGUAUUCAUGAAGAUGGACGAGGCUAGAACCCAUUAGAAGACUGUCUUCGUGAAGAUGGACGAGGCCAGAACCCAUUAGAAGACUGUCUUCGUGAAGAUGGACGAGGCUAGAACCCAUUAGAAGACUGUCUUCGUGAAGAUGGACGAGGCUAGAACCCAUUAGAAGACUGUCUUCAUGGACGAGGCUAGAACCCAUUAGAAGACUGUCUUCAUGGACGAGGCCAGAACCCAUUAGAAGACUGUCUUCAUGAAGAUGGAGAGGCUAGAACCCAUUAGAAGACUGUCUUCAUGAAGAUGGACGAGGCUAGAACCCAUUAGAAGACAGUCUUUGAAGAUGGACGAGGCUAGAACCCAUUAGAAGACUGUCUUCAUGGACGAGGCUAGAACCCAUUAGAAGACUGUCUUCAUGGACGAGGCUAGAACCCAUUAGAAGACUGUCUUCAUGAAGAUGGACGAGGCCAGUAGCCCUGAAGGGACAAUAGAGAGGAACAAUCUGCUGCUGUUCACUCCAAUAGGAAAACAACAGUAGUUAAGAGGAGAAUUGUAAUCAGAUACGUUGUUCAUGUUUUUUACCUAAUAAUGAUGUCACUGGUUCAUUCUGAACUAUUAUAGGGCUGCUUUCUCAGACGACCCCUUGGUCCUGGACUAAACAUCACUUUCAAUGGAGAAUGUCCAUUCACCACUGCUCUCUAGCCCAGAACUAGGUUUAGGCCGAAUGAGGAAACCGGCCCGUUUUAUAAAGAUAUAUAUAUAUAAACCUGUUACGAAAGUUUUAAGCCUUGAUGGGACUCAGCAACUACAGUAGAGGGGUAAAAAAUGGUUCUCUACGCAAUUCAUUACAGUGCCUUUAUGUCAAUCUUUUUAAAUGUAUUGCCACAUUUUACAGAGGUCUUACAGUAAGUAAUCGUGUCUAGCUACACUAUAUAUACAAAAGUAUGUGGACACCCCUUCAAAUGAGUGGAUUCGUCUAUUUCAGACAUCUGUUGCCGACAGGUGUAUAAAAUUGAGCAUGCCUCCAUGCAAUCUCCAUAGACAAACACUGGUAGUAGAAUUGCCUUAGUGAAGAGCUCAUUGACGUUCAACGUGGCACCAUCGUAGGAUGCCACCUUUCCAACAAGUCAGUUUGUCAAAUUUCUGCCCUGCUAGAGCUGCCCCCCGGUCAACUGUAAGUUCUGUUAUUACAGAGCGGCUCAGCCGCUAAGUGGUAGGCCACAUAAGCUCACAGAACGGGACCACCCGAGUGCUGAAGCGCUUGGCACGUAACAAUCGUCUGACCUCGGUUGCAACACUCACUACCGAGUUUCAAACUGCCUCUGGAAGCAACGUCAGCACAAGAACUGUUCGUUGGGAGCUUCAUGAAAUGGGUUUCCAUGGCCGAGCAGCCGCACACAAGCCUAAGAUCACCAUGCGCAAAGCCAAGCGUCGGCUGGAGUGGUGUAAAGCUCACCACCAUUGGAUUCUGGAGUAGUGGAAACGCUUCACCAUCUGGCAGUCUGACGGAUGAAUCUGGGUUUGGCGAAUGCCAGGAGAACGCUACCUGCCUGAAUGCAUAGUGCCAACUGUAAAGUUUGGUGGAGGAAGAAUAAUGGUCUGGGGCUGUUUUCCAUGGUUCGGGUCCCUUAGUUCCAGUGAAGGGAAAUCUUAAUGCUACAGCAGACAAUGACAUUCAAGAUGAUUCUCUGCUUCCAACUUUGAGACAAAUGUUUUGGGGAAGGCCCUUUCCUGUUUCAGCAUGACAAUGCCCCCGUUCACAAAGCGAGGUCCAUACGGAAAUGGUUUGUCGAGAUCAGUGUAGAAGAACUUGACUGGCCUGCACAGAGCCCUGACCUCAACCCCAUCGAACACCUUUGGGAUGAAUUGGAACGCAGACUGCGAGCCAGGAGGCCUAAUCGCCCAACAUCAAUGCACUGACCUCACUAAUGCUCUUGUGACUGAAUGGAAGAAAGUCCCCUCAGCAAUGUUCCAACAUCUAGUGGAAAGCCUUCCCAGAAGAGAGGAGUCUGUUAUAGCAGCAAUGUUCCAACCUCUAGUGGAAAGCCUUCCCAGAAGAGUGGAGGCUGUUAUAGCAGCAAUGUUCCAACAUCUAGUGGAAAGCCUUCCUAGAAGAGAGGAGGCUGUUAUAGCAGCAAUGUUCCAACCUCUAGUGGAAAGCCUUCCUAGAAGAGAGGAGGCUGUUAUAGCAGCAAUGUUCCAACAUCUAGUGGAAAGCCUUCCUAGAAGAGUGGAGGCUGUUAUAGCAGCAAUGUUCCUACAUCUAGUGAAAGCCUUCCCAGAAGAGAGGAGGCUGUUAUAGCAGCAAAGGGGAGGACCAACUCCAUAUGUAAUACCCAUGUUUUUUGCAAUGAGAUGUUGGACGGGCAGGUGUCCACAUACUUUUGGUCAUGUAGUGUACAAACUACAAACACACGUUAUAGAAAUUCCACUCACAACACUAACACGUGUCCAAACCUGAUACUUUUUUUAAAAAUAAAUUUUUAUAAUUGUAGCCUCUCUUUAGUGUGGUAUCAAGUUCUUUCCCCAGAGUGUUUUAUUUUAUAUAAUGUUUUAUAAAUUACAUCUCUGAUUUUGACCUGAUGAUAUUGAAUACUGUUUUACUGGUUUGUUAGUUAUUUCGUUGCGGAUGGGCUUUGGUGGGUUGUUCUUGGAUUAUCUGUGGGUUCGAUAACUGAUCUACAAGUUGAUAACGAGUGUUUGACUUUUAGGGGAAAAGUAUUUAUAAAAUGUAUCCUGGAGCAGAAAACACAAUGCAGGACAGUGGGGGGAAAACAGACGUAUUUAAUUAAAUUGAAAGUUUCUAAUUACGAUUUGAAAAUGGAUAUCGAGAUAUACUGAAUAACUAAUUUUGAAAGAAAAAAUAGUUGUAUUGAUUUGUUGCCUAUAUAAAGUAUUAAUGAAUUAUAAAUGAUAUUGAUAUUUCAAUGUUUCACAUUUUGGAAUUGAUCUUUAGCCAAACCUAGUGUGAUUUGUAUUGGAAGGAAUUGAUCUUUAGCCAAACCUAGUGUGAUUUGUAUUGGAAGGAAUUGAUCUUUAGCCAAACCUAGUGUGAUUUGUAUUGGAAGGAAUUGA